Molecule: ribosomal RNA, 806 nt
Filed under: uncultured bacterium
Lineage: Bacteria
Description: bacterial SSU rRNA
Rfam family: Bacterial small subunit ribosomal RNA
Source: RNAcentral
AGUCGAACGGACUUAACCUAUUCUUUAAGAUUAGGAGCGGUUAGUGGCGGACUGGUGAGUAAUGUAUAAGUAACCUGCCUAUCAGAGGGGAACAACAGUUGGAAACGACUGCUAAUACCGCAUAUGCCAUAAGAGCCACAUGGUUCAAGUGGGAAAGGAGCAAUCCGCUGAUAGAUGGACUUAUAUCUGAUUAGCUAGUUGGUGUGGUAACGGCAUACCGAGGCGAUGAUCAGUAGCCGAACUGAGAGGUUAAUCGGCCACAUUGGGACUGAGAUACGGCCCAGACUCCUACGGGAGGCAGCAGUCGGGAAUAUUGCGCAAUGGAGGAAACUCUGACGCAGUGACGCCGCGUGCAGGAAGAAGGUUUUCGGAUUGUAAACUGCUUUAGACAGGGAAGAAAAAAGACAGUACCUGUAGAAUAAGCUCCGGCUAACUACGUGCCAGCAGCCGCGGUAAUACGUAGGGAGCAAGCGUUAUCCGGAUUUAUUGGGUGUAAAGGGUGCGUAGACGGGAAAUUAAGUUAGUUGUGAAAUCCCUCGGCUCAACUGAGGAACUGCAACUAAAACUGAUUUUCUUGAGUACUGGAGAGGAAAGUGGAAUUCCUAGUGUAGCGGUGAAAUGCGUAGAUAUUAGGAGGAACACCAGUGGCGAAGGCGACUUUCUGGACAGAAACUGACGUUGAGGCACGAAAGUGUGGGGAGCAAACAGGAUUAGAUACCCUGGUAGUCCACACCGUAAACGAUGGAUACUAGGUGUAGGGUGUGAUAAACGCUCUGUGCCGUCGCAAACGCAGUAAGUAUCCCACC